Oncorhynchus keta (chum salmon) is the source of this 280-nucleotide long non-coding RNA. RefSeq lists it as uncharacterized. Lineage: Eukaryota; Metazoa; Chordata; Actinopteri; Salmoniformes; Salmonidae. The record is from RefSeq and is a predicted model, not a curated record. The transcript has 3 exons.
GUGUGAGGUCCAUCAGGGUGGUGUGAGGUCCAUCAGGGUGAUGUGAGGUCCGUCAGGGUGGUGUGAGGUCCAUCAGGGUGAUGUGAGGUCCGUCAGCGUGGUUUGAGGUCCAUCAGGGUGAUGUGCGGUCCAUCAGGUUGGUGUGAGGUCCAUCAGGGUAGUGUGAGGUCCAUCAGGGUAGUGUGAGGCCCAUCAGGGUGGUGUGAGGUCCGUCAGGGUGAUGCAAGGUCCAUCAGGGUUGUAUGAGGUCUGUUGAGUUAGUGUGAGUUCCAUCAGGGUG